Molecule: long non-coding RNA, 635 nt
Filed under: Carica papaya (papaya)
Lineage: Eukaryota; Viridiplantae; Streptophyta; Magnoliopsida; Brassicales; Caricaceae
Description: long non-coding RNA (CPAP_LNC004738)
Source: RNAcentral
AAACAAUAGAAAAAAUUAAAUAAAUCAUGAAAUACUCAGAUUUUCUUAUCAUGCUUCACAAAGUCAUUAUAACUUCCAUCUCUGGAGGUAGAUACAGAAUUUCAACUAUCCAUGUGGAAUGACUACAUCAGAUACAGAUAACGGUAAUUUGUUCAAGCACAUUUCCGGCUUGCCAAAUCAUGGCAUGAUCUAUGACCACGGUCGUACCAACCAUAGUGGUCCUAUCAUAUAUUUUAUGGUCACGAGAGUACUUAACCAAAAGUGACCUUUAACAGAUAUUCGCAUCACCAUUCUAGUCAGAGGGUACGUCAUCAUCCACAGAGGGUCCUCUUACAUCUUUUCAGACCAAUGGGGGAGGGAAAAAACAAAUACCCCUCAGAGAUAAAAAGCCUAACGAGUCACUUGAUGCGUUAUGCAUGUCAAUACAAAUACAUACUUCGGACCCCAUGCUUCAUUCCACUUUUUUUUUUUGCUCUUUUAAUUUUCUAGAUAACCUUACCGACUUCAUAUUAUUUUAAUUACAUGCAAAUUAUUAAGUGUCUAUCACUCAUAUAGCAUGCUUGAAAUAAAGAAAAUUCAACUUAUUAAGUCUACAAACAUAAAACAUGCAAAACAGGAAAAAUUAUAGAAUUAUC